CAGAAGGCCCUCAAAACCAAGAGGAAGAAACCCAACCAUUAGAAGACCAUAAAAUUGUUGAAGAACCCCCAGAGGGAUCGCAAGAAGAACAUGGAGAAUUGAUAGAGAUCGACUGGUGAACAUGGACUUUUCAGUGGUAUAAACAUGGCCUUUUCUUUCUCCAACUUUAAAUCAUCAAUA
This is a long non-coding RNA of Myotis davidii, 180 nucleotides long. RefSeq lists it as uncharacterized. The record is from RefSeq and is a predicted model, not a curated record. Lineage: Eukaryota; Metazoa; Chordata; Mammalia; Chiroptera; Vespertilionidae. The transcript has 3 exons.